GGAAUAUUGCACAAUGGGGGAAACCCUGAUGCAGCGACGCCGCGUGAGUGAAGAAGUAUCCCGGUACGUAAAGCUCUAUCAGCAGGGAAGAAAAAAAGUCUUUGGCUUUGGAUGGUACCUGACUAAGAAGCCCCGGCUAACUACGUGCCAGCAGCCGCGGUAAUACGUAGGGGGCAAGCGUUAUCCGGACUUACUGGGUGUAAAGGGAGCGUAGAAGGCAGCGCAAGGCUGGAGUGAAAUGCCGGGGAUCAACGCCGGAACUGCUUUGGAAACUGUGCAGCUAGAGUGCGGGAGAGGUAAGCGGAAUUCCUAGUGUAGCGGUGAAAUGCGUAGAUAUUAGGAGGAACACCAGUGGCGAAGGCGGCUUGCUGGACCGUAACUGACGUUGAGGCUCGAAAGCGUGGGGAGCAA
Molecule: ribosomal RNA, 411 nt
Filed under: uncultured bacterium
Lineage: Bacteria
Description: bacterial SSU rRNA
Rfam family: Bacterial small subunit ribosomal RNA
Source: RNAcentral